This 377-nucleotide ribosomal RNA is filed under the name uncultured eukaryote. Its description in RNAcentral is "partial 18S ribosomal RNA". It matches the Rfam family "Eukaryotic small subunit ribosomal RNA", at positions 592 to 976 of the family's 1831-position model. The record is from RNAcentral.
CAAUAGCGUAUAUUAAAGUUGUUGCAGUUAAAAAGCUCAUAGUUGGAUUUCGGGGUGGCCUGCCUGGUCCACCGCAAGGUGAGUACUGGUCAGCCGCCCUUCCUCUCGAAAGCCCCGACUGCUCUUCAUUGCAGUGGUCGGGUAGUUCGGGACGUUUACUUUGAAAAAAUUAGAGUGUUCAAGGCAGGCUAUCGCCUGAAUACAUUAGCAUGGAAUAAUGGAAGAGGACCUCGGUCCUAUUUUGUUGGUUUCUAGGGCCGAAGUAAUGAUUAAGAGGGACAGUUGGGGGCAUUCGUAUUUAAUUGUCAGAGGUGAAAUUCUUGGAUUUAUGAAAGACGAACUAGUGCGAAAGCAUUUGCCAAGGAUGUUUUCAUUAA